GAUGAACGCUGGCGGCGUGCCUAAUACAUGCAAGUCGAGCGAACAGACGAGGAGCUUGCUCCUCUGACGUUAGCGGAGGACGGGUGAGUAACACGUGGAUAACCUACCUAUAAGACUGGGAUAACUUCGGGAAACCGGAGCUAAUACCGGAUAAUAUAUUGAACCGCAUGGUUGAAUAGUGAAAGACGGUUUUGCUGUCACUUAUAGAUGGAUCCGCGCCGCAUUAGCUAGUUGGUAAGGUAACGGCUUACCAAGGCAACGAUGCGUAGCCGACCUGAGAGGGUGAUCGGCCCCACUGGAACGGAGACACGGUCCAGACUCCUACGGGAGGCAGCAGUAGGGAAUCUUCCGCAAUGGGCGAAAGCUUGACGGAGCAACGCCGCGUGAGUGAUGAAGGUCUUCGGAUCGUAAAACUCUGUUAUUAGGGAAGAACAAAUGUGUAAGUAACUAUGCACGUCUUGACGGUACCUAAUCAGAAAGCCACGGCUAACUACGUG
Molecule: ribosomal RNA, 497 nt
Filed under: uncultured bacterium
Lineage: Bacteria
Description: partial 16S ribosomal RNA
Rfam family: Bacterial small subunit ribosomal RNA
Source: RNAcentral